UACGUAGGGUGCGAGCGUUAAUCGGAAUUACUGGGCGUAAAGCGUGCGCAGGCGGUUCGUUGUGUCGGUGGUGAAAGCCCCGGGCUUAACCUGGGAAUGGCCAUGGAAACUGGCGAACUGGAGUGUGGCAGAGGGGGGUGGAAUUCCGCGUGUAGCAGUGAAAUGCGUAGAUAUGCGGAGGAACUCCGAUGGCGAAGGCAAUCCCCUGGGCCUGCACUGACGCUCAUGCACGAAAGCGUGGGGAGCAAACAGG
Molecule: ribosomal RNA, 253 nt
Filed under: uncultured bacterium
Lineage: Bacteria
Description: partial 16S ribosomal RNA
Rfam family: Bacterial small subunit ribosomal RNA
Source: RNAcentral